GGAGAGGCAGCGGCGAGCCAGAGCGUGAGGUUCAUAGCUCCCGCUAGGGCAGCACGCGGACGUGGGCGCGAGCGCGGCGAGAGAAGGCCGCUGAGGGGCGGGCUCCGGACCUCGGGUUUCGGCCCUCCUCCUCACCCCCCCACAGUCUGACGGUGAAGUUUCUGUCUUGUGUUUAAAGAAUAACUCCAAGCGCGUGGCUGAGUGUGAGCGAGCGUGUAGUGACGUUGGGAGGCGCCGUGGCUUAACCGAACCGCCCCACUCGGCCGUCCCUCGUCUGGACCAAAACUGCUGACUGGCUGACCCUGACGGUCACAUUUGCCCUCUGGGGUUUUAGAAAACCUUAAAUGAAAGUUGCUUUUCUCCCUGGCAACUCUCGAGGCUGCUUCCGCGGCCUCUGGGCUGUGGACAGAUAAGGACGUGAGUUUCCCUGACCAGCUCCUGUGGACACGCCAGCUUUAUACCUGAGCUCUGUGCAUUCUCUCCCCCCACUGCAAUAGCAGUUUCUCCUUGGCCCUUGGAGUGAGCACCCCAGAGGCAUUGGAAAGUGGCCAUUUAGAAGAUUUACCUCCAGUCAUCCCAUUCAGAUACAAAUACAGAAGGCAACUUCCUAAGGCUGAAGACAUAUAUUCAGGUAAAAUACACAGAUAACAGAAAGCUUUAAUUCCAGUGAAGUUCUGGCAGCAUUGACAUCAUGCAUCAUAACUUGGUAUGUAACAUUUUAAGUGAUCUUAGUCUAAAAGGCCUUGGGAAUGACA
Long non-coding RNA from Panthera uncia (snow leopard), 755 nucleotides. RefSeq lists it as uncharacterized. The transcript is spliced from 4 exons. Lineage: Eukaryota; Metazoa; Chordata; Mammalia; Carnivora; Felidae. The record is from RefSeq and is a predicted model, not a curated record.